Molecule: ribosomal RNA, 264 nt
Filed under: uncultured prokaryote
Description: partial 16S ribosomal RNA
Rfam family: Bacterial small subunit ribosomal RNA
Source: RNAcentral
ACGUAGGAGGCGAGCGUUAUCCGGAUUUAUUGGGCGUAAAGAGCUUGUAGGCGGUUUGUCGCGUCUGCUGUGAAAAUCCGGGGCUCAACCCCGGACUUGCAGUGGGUACGGGCAGACUAGAGUGUGGUAGGGGAGACUGGAAUUCCUGGUGUAGCGGUGAAAUGCGCAGAUAUCAGGAGGAACACCAAUGGCGAAGGCAGGUCUCUGGGCCACUACUGACGCUGAGAAGCGAAAGCAUGGGGAGCGAACAGGAUUAGAUACCCU